AUGAUGGAUCAAAAUCUUAGUACCCUAAGAUGGAAUGUCCGAGGCUUAAAUUGUCUUGAUCGUCGAGCAACAAUCCAAUAAACAAUCAUCACCACUCCAUGUCGCUUGGUCUGCCUGCAGGAGACCAAGCUUGAGCUCGUCGACCCUUUCAUCGCUUCGUACCUGGGAGGUCAAAGAUUGAAGAGUUUUGCCCAUCGCCCUGCUAAUGGGACACGGGGUGGCAUCUUGCUUCUCUGGGAUGACGAUACUGUGGACGCGAAGGAUGCUUGCAUCGGAGCCUUCUUCCUCUCCUGCAAUGUCAUGAUCAAUGCAUCCAAUUGAACCUUUAAGCUAACAACGGUUUAUGGACCAACGAGAAGCAACCUGAAGGAUGCUUUCUUCCAGGAGUUGGUUGGCGAGAAACCUCCCCAUGGCACAAAGUGGCUAGUCACUAGUGACUUUAAUCAAAUAUACCAUGCCAGAGACAAGAAUAGAGCAAACAUCGACCGGAGCCGACUUGUCCACUUCCGUAAUGCACUGAAUACUUGUGAACUCAAAGAGAUUCAUUUGCAAAACAGAAAAUUCACUUGGAGUAAUGAGCGGACCGACCCAACCUUAAGCAAGCUCGACUCUUUCAUUUGCAUUGAAGAUUGGGACCUCGAUUUUGGCACUCACCUUCUCCUCGCGCUCUCAUCAUCACUGUCCGAUCACUACCCCAUAAAUGACAACGACCCGAAGAGGUCAAAGUCCUUCUGCUUUGAAAACUUUUGGAUCAAAAUGCCUGGGCUCAAAGAGGUUGUCCAAGAAGCUUGGAAUAAGGAUAUUAAUCACACUGAUCCUUACCACAUCCUUUUUCACAAGUUAAAAGAAACUAGUCAAAAAUUGAGGAGAUGGAGCAAGACGAUCUUCGCGCACGCUAAGGUGCAAAUCCACAUGGUUCUGGAAGUCAUUCUUCGUUUGGAUGUGGCUCAAGAGCUUUGGCCCCUCAGCACUGAUGAGCGAGAUCUACGGAAACACCUCAAACGGGAAGUGGUGGCCCUGGCCAUUAUGGAGUGUGCACGGAAGCGACAAGGCUCAUGAAUUACCAACCUAAAAGAUGGAGGCGCCAUCACUCGUUUUUUCCACCUUUGGGUCAAUCACAGAAGAAGGAAGAACUUCAUCCACCACCUCAAACACAACAAUAGAUGGGUUACCGUCUGCCGUGUCACACCGACUUCAAUUGGGGCAAUAUCCCAGUCUCUGAGUGCGACCUCAGGGACCUUGGAGCGGCCUUCACGGAGGACGAGGUGGAAAAGGCAAUUUUUGAUCUCUCCGGUGAUAAAGCUCCUGGGCCCGAUAGCUUUUCUAGGGCCUUCUUCAAGGAAUGUUGGGAAAUCAUAA
This 1359-nucleotide ribosomal RNA is filed under the name Triticum aestivum (bread wheat). RNAcentral's name for it is "partial small subunit ribosomal RNA". The record is from RNAcentral. Lineage: Eukaryota; Viridiplantae; Streptophyta; Magnoliopsida; Poales; Poaceae.